AGCCAAUGAUGAACUCUUUAAAAUUUCUGACACCUCGUAUGAAAACUGCUCGCAGUUUCUGAUUACUGAUGUCAACUGAGGCUU
Small nucleolar RNA from Eublepharis macularius, 84 nucleotides. RefSeq annotates it as small nucleolar RNA SNORD60. The transcript has a single exon. Lineage: Eukaryota; Metazoa; Chordata; Lepidosauria; Squamata; Eublepharidae. The record is from RefSeq and is a predicted model, not a curated record.